CACGGCGAACUUCAGCCGAGCUUCUUCAUAGCUGGAUCCCAGCCGAGCUCCUACUGUGGACGGAUCUCAGACGAGCUUCUACAAUGGGGCAGGCUCCACCAGUCAGGUCACUACUCCGAGCUUCUACAAUAAGAAAUCUCCAUCCGAGCUCUCACGACAACCGAUCUUCGAUCGAGCUUCUACAAUAAGUGACCUCCUUUUAGCCUUCUACAAGAAUCAGACUCCGUCUGAACUUUCAUAACGGAUGGA
Molecule: long non-coding RNA, 249 nt
Filed under: Elaeis guineensis (African oil palm)
Lineage: Eukaryota; Viridiplantae; Streptophyta; Magnoliopsida; Arecales; Arecaceae
Description: long non-coding RNA (EGUI_LNC020392)
Source: RNAcentral